Molecule: long non-coding RNA, 2385 nt
Filed under: Salmo salar (Atlantic salmon)
Lineage: Eukaryota; Metazoa; Chordata; Actinopteri; Salmoniformes; Salmonidae
Description: lncRNA (ENSSSAG00000102842.1, ENSSSAG00000111594.1)
Source: RNAcentral
GGGAGAGACAUGUUGUCUGUAACCUGUAACUAGCCUAGGGAGAGACAUGUUGUCUGUAAACUGUAACUAGCCUGGGGAGAGACAUGUUGUCUGUAACCUGUAUCUAGCCUAGGGAGAGACAUGUUGUCUGUAACCUGUAACUAGCCUGGGGAGAGACAUGUUGUCUGUAACCUGUAACUAGCCUGGGGAGAGACAUGUUGUCUGUAACCUGUAACUAGCCUAGGGAGAGACAUGUUGUCUGUAACCUGUAUCUAGCCUAGGGAGAGACAUGUUGUCUGUAACCUGUAACUAGCCUGGGGAGGGACAUGUUGUCUGUAACCUGUAACUAGCCUAGGGAGAGACAUGUUGUCUGUAACCUGUAACUAGCCUAGGGAGAGACAUGUUGUCUGUAACCUGUAACUAGCCUAGGGAGAGACAUGUUGUCUGUAACCUGUAACUAGCCUAGGGAGAGACAUGUUGUCUGUAACCUGUAACUAGCCUGGGGAGAGACAUGUUGUCUGUAACCUGUAACUAGCCUAGGGAGAGACAUGUUGUCUGUAACCUGUAACUAGCCUGGGGAGAGACAUGUUGUCUGUAACCUGUAACUAGCCUGGGGAGAGACAUGUUGUCUGUAACCUGUAACUAGCCUGGGGAGAGACAUGUUGUCUGUAACCUGUAACUAGCCUAGGGAGAGACCUGGCUGGCUUGCUUUAUUUAAAUGAAUGUAAUACACAUUGUUAUAUCCUUCUGGUUAAAUCCCAAAUGGCACCCUAUUCCCUACAUAGUGCACUACUUUUGACCAGGUCCCAUAGUGCUCUGUUCAAAAGUAGUGCACUUUAUAGGGAAUAGGGUGCCAUUUGGGCCAAAUAUAGGAUAAUUUGACUGUAGCCUUCUGCGUUGAGCAGAGACAACUUUUUCCUUGUUGGCACUUUAUCUGUUGGUUAGUAGGUGUUAUUAUAUUAUUGAACCUCUGGAGCCAUACGCUAUUGGGUUAGUCAGGCUGAUCAGCAAGUCUCAAUAAGGUGUUGGGAUCAACAAGUCUCAAUAAGGUGUUGGGAUCAACAAGUCUCAAUAAGGUGUUGGGUUAGUCAGACUGAUCAGCAAGUCUCAAUAAGGUGUUGGGUUAGUCAGGCUGAUCAACAAGUCUCAAUAAGGUGUUGGGUUAGUCAGACUGAUCAGAAAGUCUCAAUAAGGUGUUGGGUUAGUCAGACUGAUCAGCAAGUCUCAAUAAGGUGUUGGGUUAGUCAGGCUGAUCAGCAAGUCUCAAUAAGGUGUUGGGUUAGUCAGGCUGAUCAACAAGUCUCAAUAAGGUGUUGGGUUAGUCAGGCUGAUCAGAAAGUCUCAAGCCUCAAACACCUUAGUAAUAUAUUCUGUCCAUGGACUCAUGUUACUCAUUUUCACUGGGGGGUGCGUCCCAAAUGUCAACUCAUUCUACAUUUGACCAGGGCCCAUAUGGGGGAAUAGGAAGUCAUUAAUGACCAGGGCCCAUAUGGGGGAAUAGGAAGUCAUUAAUGACCAGGGCCCAUAUGGGGGAAUAGGAAGUCAUUAAUGACCAGGGCCCAUAUGGGGGAAUAGUGUGUUCUCAGAAGGUGAAGCCAGUAGUGGCCUACUGGGCCGAGGCUUUGAUGUUGCUUUCCUGUGGCGUUACUUCUUUAUUUUAUCCUUGGUGGGGUUUAUUUUAUGUAAAUCAAGGAGACGUGCUUUUGAUUUGUCUGUUGAGUGUAAGGGGUUGUCCCAAAUGUCACCCUAUUCCCUAUGUAGUGCAUUACUAUGGGCCCUAUUCCCUAUGUAGUGCGCUACUAUGGGCCCUAUUCCCUAUGUAGUGCGCUACUAUGGGCCCUAUUCCCUAUGUAGUGCGCUACUAUGGGCCCUAUUCCCUAUGUAGUGCGCUACUAUGGGCCCUAUUCCCAAUGUAGUGCGCUACUAUGGGCCCUAUUCCCUAUGUAGUGCGCUACUAUGGGCCCUAUUCCCUAUGUAGUGCGCCACUAUGGGCCCUAUUCCCUAUGUAGUGCGCCACUAUGGGCCCUAUUCCCUAUGUAGUGCGCUACUGUGGGCCCUAUUCCCUAUGUAGUGCUCUACUAUGGGCCCUAUUCCCUAUGUAGUGCUCUACUAUGGGCCCUAUUCCCUAUGUAGUGCUCUACUAUGGGCCCUAUUCCCUAUGUAGUGCACUAUAAAUGGAAUAAGGUGCCAUUAGGGAGACAAGCCAUCUCAGAACAUACGCUGUUAAACCAUUGAGUACAUAACUGUGCUGUUACAUAUUUAUAUAAUUUGUAAGUAUGCAUAUUGUAAUUAUUUUAUAUUUGUAUACAUGCACUAGUUUAUAAGUGUGCAUUAUUUUUUCGGGACAUGAAUCAAACUGACGUGUAAAAAAGUUGAAAAAAAUAAAGUACUUUUUUUGUUAACCUG